RNAcentral lists this ribosomal RNA (482 nucleotides) under uncultured bacterium. RNAcentral describes it as "partial 16S ribosomal RNA". It matches the Rfam family "Bacterial small subunit ribosomal RNA", at positions 30 to 507 of the family's 1533-position model. The record is from RNAcentral.
AUUGAACGCUGGCGGCAUGCCUUACACAUGCAAGUCGAACGGUAACGGGCCUUCGGGUGCCGACGAGUGGCGAACGGGUGCGUAAUACAUCGGAACGUGCCCGAUCGUGGGGGAUAACGAGGCGAAAGCUUUGCUAAUACCGCAUACGAUCUACGGAUGAAAGCAGGGGACCGCAAGGCCUUGCGCGGACGGAGCGGCCGAUGGCAGAUUAGGUAGUUGGUGGGAUAAGAGCUUACCAAGCCGACGAUCUGUAGCUGGUCUGAGAGGAUGAUCAGCCACACUGGGACUGAGACACGGCCCAGACUCCUACGGGAGGCAGCAGUGGGGAAUUUUGGACAAUGGGCGCAAGCCUGAUCCAGCCAUGCCGCGUGCAGGAUGAAGGCCCUCGGGUUGUAAACUGCUUUUGUACGGAACGAAAAGCCUUCUUUUAAUACAGGAGGGUCAUGACGGUACCGUAAGAAUAAGCACCGGCUAACUACGUG